Molecule: ribosomal RNA, 520 nt
Filed under: Yarrowia phangngaensis
Lineage: Eukaryota; Fungi; Ascomycota; Dipodascomycetes; Dipodascales
Description: eukaryotic LSU rRNA
Rfam family: Eukaryotic large subunit ribosomal RNA
Source: RNAcentral
AUAUCAAUAAGCGGAGGAAAAGAAACCAACAGGGAUUGCCUCAGUAACGGCGAGUGAAGCGGCAAAAGCUCAAAUUUGAAACCUUCGGGAUUGUAAUUUGAAGACCUGGCAUUGAGAAAAGCUAACCCAAGUUACUUGGAAUAGUACGUCAUAGAGGGUGACAACCCCGUCUGGCUAACCGUUUCUCGUGUAUUGCCUUGUCAAAGAGUCGAGUUGUUUGGGAAUGCAGCUCAAAGUGGGUGGUAAACUCCAUCUAAAGCUAAAUACUGGUGAGAGACCGAUAGCGAACAAGUACUGUGAAGGAAAGGUGAAAAGAACUUUGAAAAGAGAGUGAAAUAGUAUGUGAAAUUGUUGAUAGGGAAGGGAAUGCUUGUAGAAUGGGCGAGGUUUCAACUAUCUUUCGAGAUGGUGUACUGCCAACCCCGGGUUAUUGUUAGCGAUUGUUGAGGGAUAAACGAAUUACUUCGGUAAUCCUCCUACCUCAACUCCUGCCAUCAACAACGUAAUACAAGUACUCCAC